AAUUUAAUUCCAAAUGAAAGUCUAUAUAUAACUUUAUGAUCUAAUUUUUAAGACAAGCUUUAAACAUGUACUGAUAAAGUCAAACUAACAGAUUCAACCUUAGUCCUCACAACUAAUUGCAAUUUCCUAUCAGAAAGUUCUUCACAAUGUAUUCAAA
Notechis scutatus (mainland tiger snake) is the source of this 157-nucleotide non-coding RNA. The record is from RefSeq and is a predicted model, not a curated record. NCBI's taxonomy places the organism in Eukaryota, Metazoa, Chordata, Lepidosauria, Squamata, Elapidae.